RNAcentral lists this ribosomal RNA (495 nucleotides) under uncultured bacterium. RNAcentral's name for it is "partial 16S ribosomal RNA". It matches the Rfam family "Bacterial small subunit ribosomal RNA", at positions 28 to 507 of the family's 1533-position model. The record is from RNAcentral.
GAUGAACGCUGGCGGCGUGCCUAAUACAUGCAAGUAGAACGCUGAAGGAGGAGCUUGCUCUUCUGGAUGAGUUGCGAGCGGGUGAGUAACGCGUAGGUAACCUGCCUGGUAGCGGGGGAUAACUAUUGGAAACGAUAGCUAAUACCGCAUGACAACAGUUAUUGCAUGAUAACUGUUUAAAAGUGGCAACUUCUCCACUACCAGAUGGACCUGCGUUGUAUUAGCUAGUUGGUGAGGUAACGGCUCACCAAGGCGACGAUACAUAGCCGACCUGAGAGGGUGAUCGGCCACACUGGGACUGAGACACGGCCCAGGAUCCUACGGGAGGCAGCAGUAGGGAAUCUUCGGACAUGGACGGAAGUCUGAACGAGCAACGCCGCGUGAGUGAAGAAGGUUUUCGGAUCGUAAAGCUCUGUUGUAAGAGAAGAACGAGUGUGAGAGUGGAAAGUUCACACUGUGACGGUAUCUUACCAGAAAGGGACGGCUAACUACGUG